UAAAUAGUUUGCCAUCUAUAAGAAUCUUGCCUAUGAAAAAUUCCACAUGUGCUUUAUAUAAAUGCCAAGGCUUGAAUAAACUUUAAAUUUAGCAUUCCGUUUCCCUUAAAUAACUGGAGUUUGUUUAUAUUUUUUCAAAUGAGUCUGCAGGAGUCAAGCCAUGCACUUUAGUCCUGAAAGGAUGUUCUUCGGGAUUAAGAUUUUCAUGAGGAUACAUAUGAUAGCAACAACAAGAACAUGCUUGAUAAGGGUUAUUCCUACCAAUGUGGUACAUGAGAGUAAAGCUUGGCUGUCACUGAGCUGAGCUUGGAGAUGGCCCAUGAUGGCUUUGUCAAAAUUUAUCAACUUACGUAAUAAUACUUGGUUUUUCUCUUCUAAGUACAACUCUCCAUGAAAUCAUUUUCUGAAGCUUUUCUCAAAAAGAUGAGUACUGAUUUUAAAGUUUUAGUUGAUGCUUUUAUGCCUGAGGAAGACGGAUAAUAAUAAUUUCCAAGUGAAACGGUCUUCUGAAAGUGGGGUAAAAGAACGUCCAGGCUAGGUUGGUGAUUUUGGUGAUCUUUUAGCCUAGAGACAUGCUAUGAGGGUGACUUAAAGUACCCCUUGUAGAAUAUGUUGAUGUAAGGUGAGGGAAUCACUUUGGUCUCAACUCAAAUUAUGGUAAGCCAUUAACUUCAUUUAAGAAUCUGAAUGAAGUGAUACACAUCAUGUAAUAUAACAUACCUCAAUUAUAUGAUAUGUAUUUUUAUGCAAUUUAAUAUAUUAAUUUUCCCAACUACCAAUUCUAUGAGUUGAUUCUUGUGAAUUAAAGGAGUCUUUCUUAGUUUCUAAUCCAUAUGGCACUGUUAUUCCUUUGAUAUUGCUUGUGCUGGUGCUCCUUGAAUUGCAUCAGUUGUGAUGGGUGCCAUGUAUAUGACUUUAAUAUAUAGGAUGAAAUGAUGCACUUUUGUUACGGAACCUAGGUGAAUCUUGCUAUGUAAAGUUUUAUU
RNAcentral lists this long non-coding RNA (986 nucleotides) under Phoenix dactylifera (date palm). RNAcentral's name for it is "long non-coding RNA (PDAC_LNC016573)". Lineage: Eukaryota; Viridiplantae; Streptophyta; Magnoliopsida; Arecales; Arecaceae. The record is from RNAcentral.